GUCCCUGUAGCGCAAUGGAUAGCGCAUUGGACUUGUAAUGCAAAGGUCGUGGGUUCGAAUCCCAUCUGGGGUG
RNAcentral lists this transfer RNA (73 nucleotides) under Trichonephila clavipes. It matches the Rfam family "tRNA". From Rfam's summary of the family: Transfer RNA (tRNA) molecules are approximately 80 nucleotides in length. Lineage: Eukaryota; Metazoa; Arthropoda; Arachnida; Araneae; Nephilidae. The record is from Rfam by way of RNAcentral.